GUGUUCCCUUUAUUUUUUUGAGCAGUGUAUAUUUUUUACCUCCUCAUUCGGAACUAUCCUCACCUGUCGUUUAACAGCCGCAAUAGCGGCAAUAUUGUGAAUGAGUCAACUAAGGACAGUUUCUGAGUUCUAUUGAAUCGCUAUGUCUACUCUCUCUGUUGGCUUAACACCAGACUUCAUCAGAAAGAUCUGGUACAUUUUCAAGGACGGGAAUCUUGGGGAGAACAUUGGGCUGUAAAAACAUGUGCGCUGAGCACAAUUAUAAGCUGUUCUAUCAAAAUGUGCUCAGCUCAGCCUCUUGAUUAAUAAUUUGAUUGGCAAGUGAAAAGUGCAGUGUCCUUGGACAUAGAAUCAUUCUACCAGCUACCCCGCAGCCUUCGUGCUUCAAAUCUUUGUUUUGGUCCCAUUCACAGCUGGAACACUGCAGUGAUUCAAAAUGAACUGCACCUUUGCCAACAAUGUGAAAGUGACGUGACAGAUGCCGCAAACGCACACGAUUUUCUCAGUCACAUGACAUUUUAGUUAUUCUGCACGUCACGCAUUAGGCCUAAUGAAUUCAAAGUUCUUUGAGAGACACAAAAACCUGUCAGGUCUAGAGAGCAGCUAGUUGGAGCUGUAAUCCAGUGGUUUAAGUGGAAGGGGAAGCGACAUGAGAAGAUUGCAAAUCUGCCGGCUCUACCUCCUCCCCAUUUUACUGUGUGCUGCCGUAUUUCUCAACACACUCUGUCAAACAGCGGACAUGAAAACAAGAUCUUCAACUGAUUUCCUUCCAGAAGUGGACAGGGAUAAAAAAUUAAAAAAAACUGAUGAGUGAUUUACAAGAGGUGCUUGAAAGGUUAAAAAGCAACAGCGGUCCGUAUCAAGGAAAUAAACACAGUCAGCUGCCUAUGGAGAGCUGUGUGCUUUGAGGAAGGGUCCAAGGAUCGGAAACUGUGUGACUGCCGAAUACCAAGAACGUGCAAUUCAUUUCUGCUCCGCUGUUUAUGAUGGCACCUCUGCUAUUAUAUUCACUAUGCUGUUUAAUAUACAGAUACUGGCAAGAACAUGGCCUGUCCUAGACAGUGUGAGAGUCAUUUGAAAAGUUUGAAUUCUAACCAUUUUUUUUUUUUCAAACUCUGUUUCUGUUUGUGCCUCUUAUGUUCCUAUGCUGUGUACAAUGUGCUACACAAAUAAAAUGAUAUUGGAUGUGACAUACUGGUGAA
Molecule: long non-coding RNA, 1202 nt
Organism: Coregonus clupeaformis (lake whitefish)
Lineage: Eukaryota; Metazoa; Chordata; Actinopteri; Salmoniformes; Salmonidae
Exons: 3
Source: RefSeq, a predicted model, not a curated record